UACGUAUGUUCCAAGCGUUAUCCGGAUUUAUUGGGCGUAAAGCGAGCGCAGACGGUUAUUUAAGUCUGAAGUGAAAGCCCUCGGCUUAACCGAGGAAUUGCUUUGGAAACUGGAUAACUUGAGUGCAGUAGAGGAAAGUGGAACUCCAUGUGUAGCGGUGAAAUGCGUAGAUAUAUGGAAGAACACCAGUGGCGAAGGCGGCUUUCUGGACUGUAACUGACGUUGAGGCU
RNAcentral lists this ribosomal RNA (230 nucleotides) under uncultured microorganism. Its description in RNAcentral is "partial 16S ribosomal RNA". It matches the Rfam family "Bacterial small subunit ribosomal RNA", at positions 524 to 753 of the family's 1533-position model. The record is from RNAcentral.